GAAACAAAAAACAAUUACAUGAACUUCACAGGAAAAAUAGUUCACCUGUCAGGGUAUAUUUAUAUUUGAAAAAGAAAAAGCAAAAAAAUAAAAAACUCGUUUUGGACGGAUGGCGAAAGCAGUGGCGUGAUGGGAGAAAGCUGAAAGCGUGGACCAUCAUAAGUUUGCAGCUGAGAGUGAAAUGUCAGGCUGAUAGAUCCAUAACCUUGUACACUGGGAGACAGAGACGCGGUGGCACUGGUAUAUGGAGUGUGUUUGCAUGGACACAGGUGCCGGGAGACCAAAUCAUUUGAACAUUGAAACUACAAGACAUGCAACGUCUCCGAUUCAAUUCUGCCGAAAUCCACCAUCAUUUUCACAGUGAAGAUCCAGGGCUGUUCAUCCCAGCACCUAGGCCAUGGGCUGUUGGUCGACUGUUGCCAAGGUGGCCAGCUUGGCCAUCAGUAGAGCAAUCAGUGAGCAACAGUAGCAGCUAGCAGGUAAGAGCAGUGGAUCAGUGCCUAUGGAGCUUACUGUUUGGUACCAAGAGAGUUAGAACCAAAUUUAAAUUGGCAGAAAUCCGAACAUAAGAAACUCUGCUUUAA
This is a non-coding RNA of Oryza sativa Japonica Group (Japanese rice), 584 nucleotides long. Lineage: Eukaryota; Viridiplantae; Streptophyta; Magnoliopsida; Poales; Poaceae. The record is from RefSeq and is a predicted model, not a curated record.